ACUCCUACGGGAGGCAGCAGUGGGGAAUAUUGCGCAAUGGGCGAAAGCCUGACGCAGCGACGCCGCGUGGGGGAUGACGGCCUUCGGGUUGUAAACCCCUUUCGCCAAGGACGAAGCUUUUUGUGACGGUACUUGGAGAAGAAGCACCGGCCAACUACGUGCCAGCAGCCGCGGUAACACGUAGGGUGCAAGCGUUGUCCGGAUUUAUUGGGCGUAAAGAGCUCGUAGGCGGCUUGUCGCGUUGAUC
This 247-nucleotide ribosomal RNA is filed under the name uncultured Actinomycetes bacterium. RNAcentral describes it as "uncultured actinobacterium partial 16S ribosomal RNA". It matches the Rfam family "Bacterial small subunit ribosomal RNA", at positions 335 to 593 of the family's 1533-position model. Lineage: Bacteria; Bacillati; Actinomycetota; Actinomycetes. The record is from RNAcentral.